Molecule: ribosomal RNA, 451 nt
Filed under: uncultured bacterium
Lineage: Bacteria
Description: partial 16S ribosomal RNA
Rfam family: Bacterial small subunit ribosomal RNA
Source: RNAcentral
GAUGAAUGCUGGCGGCGUGCCUAACACAUGCAAGUCGAGCGGCAGCGAGGGGUGCUUGCACCCUGUCGGCGAGCGGCGAACGGCUGAGUAACGCGUAGGAAUUUGCCCCAAAGUGAGGAAUAACUGCCCGAAAGGGUAGCUAAUGCCGCAUAUGGUCUUCGGAUUAAAGGAUUUAUCCGCUUUGGGAGAAGCCUGCGUUGGAUUAGGUUGUUAGUAGGGUAAUGGCCUACCAAGCCGACGAUCCAUAGCCGGUCUGAGAGGAUGAUCAGCCAGACUGGAACUGAGACACGGUCCAGACUCCUACGGGAGGCAGCAGUGAGGAAUCUUCCACAAUGGGCGAAAGCCUGAUGGAGCAACGCCGCGUGAAGGAUGAAGGCCUUCGGGUUGUAAACUUCUUUUAUGAGUGAAGAAUAUGACGGUAACUCAUGAAUAAGCACCGGCUAACUACGUG